RNAcentral lists this ribosomal RNA (253 nucleotides) under uncultured bacterium. RNAcentral describes it as "partial 16S ribosomal RNA". It matches the Rfam family "Bacterial small subunit ribosomal RNA", at positions 524 to 776 of the family's 1533-position model. The record is from RNAcentral.
UACGUAGGGUGCGAGCGUUAAUCGGAAUUACUGGGCGUAAAGGGUGCGCAGGCGGUCUCGUAAGCUGGGUGUGAAAGCCCUGGGCUCAACCCAGGAAGAGCAUUCGAAACUUCCGAGCUUGAGUUUCGGAGAGGCAGGCGGAAUUCUCGGUGUAGAGGUGAAAUUCGUAGAUAUCGAGAGGAACACCGGUGGCGAAGGCGGCCUGCUGGACGAUGACUGACGCUGAGACGCGAAAGCGUGGGGAGCAAACAGG